CCUACGGGAGGCUGCAGUGAGGAAUAUUGGUCAAUGGACGAGAGUCUGAACCAGCCAAGUAGCGUGAAGGAUGACUGCCCUAUGGGUUGUAAACUUCUUUUGUCAAGGGACAAAAUCAGGCUCGAGAGCCUGACCGAGGGUACUUGAAGAAAAAGCAUCGGCUAACUCCGUGCCAGCAGCCGCGGUAAUACGGAGGAUGCGAGCGUUAUCCGGAUUUAUUGGGUUUAAAGGGUGCGUAGGCGGGCUGUUAAGUCAGCGGUAAAAGCCCGGGGCUCAACCCCGGCGAGCCGUUGAAACUGGCUGUCUUGAGAUGUCGAGAGGUAUGCGGAAUGCGCAGUGUAGCGGUGAAAUGCUUAGAUAUUGCGCAGAACUCCGAUUGCGAAGGCAGCAUACCGGCGGCGAUCUGACGCUGAGGCACGAAAGCGUGGGUAUCGAACAGGAUUAGAUACCCCAGUAGUC
This 459-nucleotide ribosomal RNA is filed under the name uncultured bacterium. RNAcentral's name for it is "partial 16S ribosomal RNA". It matches the Rfam family "Bacterial small subunit ribosomal RNA", at positions 338 to 795 of the family's 1533-position model. The record is from RNAcentral.